This 505-nucleotide ribosomal RNA is filed under the name uncultured bacterium. Its description in RNAcentral is "partial 16S ribosomal RNA". It matches the Rfam family "Bacterial small subunit ribosomal RNA", at positions 28 to 507 of the family's 1533-position model. The record is from RNAcentral.
GACGAACGCUGGCGGCGUGCCUAAUACAUGCAAGUAGAACGCACAGUUUAUACCGUAGCUUGCUACACCAUAAACUGUGAGUUGCGAACGGGUGAGUAACGCGUAGGUAACCUGCCUGGUAGCGGGGGAUAACUAUUGGAAACGAUAGCUAAUACCGCAUAAUAUUGAUUAUUGCAUGAUAAUUGAUUGAAAGAUGCUAUUGCAUCACUACCAGAUGGACCUGCGUUGUAUUAGCUAGUAGGUGAGGUAACGGCUCACCUAGGCGACGAUACAUAGCCGACCACCGAGGGUGAGCGCCCACGCUGGGACGGGGAGACGGCCCAGACCCUUACGGGAGGCAGCCGUAGGGAAUCUCUGGCGAUGGAAGAAAGUCGGACCGAGCAACGCCGCGUGAGUGAAGAAGGUUUUCGGAUCGUAAAGACCUGUUGUAAGAGAAGAACGGGUGUGAGUGUGGAAAGGUCACACUGUGACGGUAUCUGACCAGAAAGGGACGGCUAACUACGUG